UACAUGGGGUGCAAACGUUGCUGGGAAUUAUUGGGCGUAAAGCGCAAGUAGGGGGUCUGUUAUGUCGGAUGUGAAAGCCCUCGGCUCAACUGAGGAAGUGCAUCCGAAACUGGCAGGCUUGAGUAUGUAAGAGGGUUGCGGAAUUCCCGGUGUAGAGGUGAAAUUCGUAGAUAUCGGGAGGAACACCGGUGGCGAAGGCGGCGACCUGGGACAAUACUGACACUGAGGUGCGAAAGCGUGGGGAGCAAACAGG
RNAcentral lists this ribosomal RNA (253 nucleotides) under uncultured bacterium. RNAcentral describes it as "partial 16S ribosomal RNA". It matches the Rfam family "Bacterial small subunit ribosomal RNA", at positions 524 to 776 of the family's 1533-position model. The record is from RNAcentral.